UACGAAGGGGGCUAGCGUUGUUCGGAAUUACUGGGCGUAAAGCGCACGUAGGCGGCUUUGUAAGUUAGAGGUGAAAGCCCGGGGCUCAACUCCGGAAUUGCCUUUAAGACUGCAUCGCUAGAAUUGUGGAGAGGUAAGUGGAAUUCCGAAGUUGUAGAGGUGAAAUUCGUAGAUAUUCGGAAGAACACCAGUGGCGAAGGCGACUUACUGGACACAUAUUGACGCUGAGGUGCGAAAAGCGUGGGGAGCAAACAGGG
RNAcentral lists this ribosomal RNA (257 nucleotides) under uncultured bacterium. RNAcentral's name for it is "partial 16S ribosomal RNA". It matches the Rfam family "Bacterial small subunit ribosomal RNA", at positions 524 to 777 of the family's 1533-position model. The record is from RNAcentral.